Molecule: ribosomal RNA, 253 nt
Filed under: uncultured bacterium
Lineage: Bacteria
Description: partial 16S ribosomal RNA
Rfam family: Bacterial small subunit ribosomal RNA
Source: RNAcentral
UACAGAGGUGGCAAGCGUUGUUCGGAAUUACUGGGCGUAAAGGGCGCGUAGGCGGCCUCCUAAGUCGGACGUGAAAUCCCCAGGCUUAACCUGGGAACUGCGUCCGAUACUGGGAGGCUUGAGUUCGGGAGAGGGAUGUGGAAUUCCAGGUGUAGCGGUGAAAUGCGUAGAUAUCUGGAGGAACACCGGUGGCGAAGGCGGCAUCCUGGACCGAAACUGACGCUGAGGCGCGAAAGCCAGGGGAGCAAACGGG